Molecule: ribosomal RNA, 16 nt
Filed under: Cardiospermum bahianum
Lineage: Eukaryota; Viridiplantae; Streptophyta; Magnoliopsida; Sapindales; Sapindaceae
Description: partial 26S ribosomal RNA
Source: RNAcentral
ACCUAUCGUCGCGACC